GAACUGUCCAAACGUUGUUCGGAAUCACUGGGCUUAAAGGGCGCGUAGGCGGUCAAACAAGUCAAGGGUGAAAUCCUGCAGCUUAACUGUAGAAGUGCCUUUGAUACUGUUUGUCUGGAGGGAGAUAGGGGUGUGCGGAACUUCCAGUGGAGCGGUGAAAUGCGUUGAUAUUGGAAGGAACGCCGGAGGCGAAAGCGGCGCACUGGAUCUCUUCUGACGCUGAGGCGCGAAAGCUAGGGGAGCAAACGGGAUUAGAUACCCCGGUAGUCCUAGCCCUAAACGAUGGGUACUAGAUUGUAGACUUUCAUGGGUUUACAGUCGAAGCAAAAGUUUUAAGUACCCCGCCUGGGGAGUAUGGUCGCAAGGCUG
RNAcentral lists this ribosomal RNA (369 nucleotides) under uncultured bacterium. RNAcentral describes it as "bacterial SSU rRNA". It matches the Rfam family "Bacterial small subunit ribosomal RNA", at positions 527 to 896 of the family's 1533-position model. The record is from RNAcentral.